This is a non-coding RNA of Coffea arabica (coffee), 876 nucleotides long. NCBI's taxonomy places the organism in Eukaryota, Viridiplantae, Streptophyta, Magnoliopsida, Gentianales, Rubiaceae. The record is from RefSeq and is a predicted model, not a curated record.
UAUAUUUUUUUAAAAUUUUAUGUUCUUUGAUUUUUGUUACUAUUUUUAUGCAUUUUUUUGAUUAGUUUUUUUUUCCUCUUUGUAUUUCUUCCUGUUAAUGGUGAAUAAACUGAAAGUUGAUUUUUUGAAAUUUUGAUAUUGCAGAUUUAAAAUGCUCGAUUUGCCUAGAGUUCAGGUGGCAAGGAAGCUUUGAUUUUGAUGCCCAGAGUUAGAAAGCCUAAUUAUACCUUUGUGUAAGAGAGAUACUGCUCUUCGUUUCCUGUUGCAAUACUUACCAGAAUAUGCAAAUCCAAGGUUAUUCUUCUGUGCUCAACAGAGGUUGUGCUGCAGCGAAGUGUAGCCCUUUUAUGUUACGCGGAUUUGCUUGCCUGAAGUGUAGUGAAUUUGGGCAAUCCCUGAUAAGUCACCAAAGACUGAUGCAAUGAACAUGCAAUCACUCUGCCAAACUGCCAGAGAAUAGUUACUCAUGAUUGCUGAGAGAUUAUGAGGGUGCUAAAGCCAGGUGGGCUCUGUGUGUUUGUGGAACACGUAGCAGCAGAAGAUGGAACAAUUCGGAGAUUUUUCCAAGGGAUUCUUGAUCCUUUGCAGCAGUUUGUUGCUGAUGGCUGUCACUUCACUAGAAAAACUGGAGAAGUUAUUGCUAAAGCGGUCUUCUCAUCUGUUGAACUUCAGCGGGCAUUUGUGUCUUCUGCCUCAAUAGCAAAUCCUCAGGUUUAUGGGAUAGCUCGCAAGUAGCCUAGAUUAAUGUUAUGCCACAUAAAAUAUUCCUGCUGCAAACCUUGGAAUAAUUAUUUGAAUACUGAGUGUGUCUAGUGUAUUUGGAUAGAGUAUCAUUUGAAAUAUUAUUUAAAAUAAUUAAUGUAGCACUUUUUGUGA